Non-coding RNA from Anas platyrhynchos (mallard), 3545 nucleotides. NCBI's taxonomy places the organism in Eukaryota, Metazoa, Chordata, Aves, Anseriformes, Anatidae. The record is from RefSeq and is a predicted model, not a curated record.
CGGGCUCACCGGGCUCCCGUGGCGGGGGCACGGCCGCGGGUGGGCCCCAGCCCCGAGCCCCCGGACCGGCCGCUUCCUCGGCGCGGCUGCUGCCGGAGCAUCCGGGAAAGGGGAGUUACCGUGACACCGUCGCAAGCAUUUCUGCCUUCUUCCCUUUCCUUUUUCUUUUUUUUUUUUUUGCUUUUUGUUUUUCCCCUUGUUCUUCUCCCAAAGCCCUUAAGAUCGCUGACUCUUUAUUCCCGCACCAACCUUGUGUAAAACAAGGGCACGGCGCCUCCGGGUCCCGCACCCGGCGCUGCGGAGCGCAGCGGGACGCGCAGGGGGACGCGCAGGGGGACGCGCCCCGCUCCGCCACCACCCGCUCGGCCCCGGCCUGCCGAGCCCCCGGCGGCGGCACCUGGCCCGGGGGCCGGCUCCCGGCCGGGGGACGCGGUUUGCUCGGCGGAGCCGCGGUGCCGGCCGCAGCUUUCGUUCGGAGCCCGGCGGCUGCCGCUGCCCUCGCUGCUCGCCCUCCCCGGCCGCUCCUCGGAGGCGGGUGGCGCCGGGACAAGGGGACAUUCACCUGGACAGGGUCUUCUUCUGCAUGAAUGAGUCUCAUUGUCAAACGCCCGAGCGCGUGUAGGUGCAGACACGUUCUGCAGCGCAGAAUUGAGUUUCUCGUUUGUACGGCAAAGCUAAAAAUUCGGGUAGCUUCGGGCUUGUUUUUACAAGCUCCCAGCCGUAGAAGGCUUUCUGUUUUUACAGGAAAAAUUAGGCAGUCCAUAGACCAUGAUGGCUGCACAUCCAUAAUGUGAGCUUCAUGAGGAACAGAAUAACUUUAUUAUGAUCCGGACUGCAAUCACAUUGAAUAAAAGCUGAUCUAACAGGGCCUGAGGGAAAAGUCACAAACGGGCUCAAUUCUGCACUGCUUCCAACGGGAAUUUUAGAAGGAAGGGUCUGAAGAUCAGCAGAGCGGAUUUUACCCUUCAGCUGACACCGCGGAGAUACUUUGCACGGUCUCUUUCAUUUCGAGCCUGUUCCUACUGCCUGCAUAUCAAAGAAAUCUAUCUCGUUAGAAAGGAGCCUUCAACCUUUCCCCCCUUGCGUUCCUCCUUUCCACCCCUUCUCUCCCCACUUUCCUUCCCUGCAGCAUGAGCCGCAGCCCUCACUCCGGUGUGUUUGUUUAUGCUCAGAGGACAGGCCCACAGGAAAACAAACGAUAUAUUUCACUUUGUCAUUUGGUAGUUUCUCCCUUUCAUCUGAAAACACAGCCCGAUCCAGGGAAGGUUCCUGAAUUCACACAACCGGUUACAUGAUGAAAUGCAAACAGUUUCUCGUGGUAUUAAAUGGCAGCCCGCAGCAGAGUUCAGGUUGGCUGUUAUGGAUUCACUAGUUACGGCUCUGCAGGAUAAUCCUGUGUUACUGCCAUCCUGCCGUCAGUGGCCUACAGCAAUGCUGCCGAAUGCUGCAAAUAAAAACAAACAAGCCAGCCUCCUCUUUUCAGACAAAGUAGAAAUUAUGUCUCUUUAGGAAGCUCGAAGCAAAGAUCGUUUGUAUCAGGCUGACAACUUCCAAAGCAAGCUGCUCUUUCUAGCACUUAGAAAUCGAUGCUUGUUUUUCUACAAAGCACGGGUGAAAAAAAAAAAAAAAAGGAAAAGAAUAAUACAAGUCCACUUAUGUCCAGAUCACCCAGAAGUUGCAAAUUAAUAGUAUUGUACAACAAAAUUAAAGCCAAGUCAGCCUUCUCCCACUGUUACUACAGAGACACACUGUUUAACAGACCACUGCUUUUAGGCAAUCAAAAAUCUGCACGCUUGUUUAGACUGUUUCAAAAAUUGCAGUGUUUGAUAAAGAUCAAACUAGGGAAAGUGGUACAAAUUUCAGAUUAUUUGAAAAAGGAGGCUUCAGGGAAAAAUCUUCCAAACAACCUAGGGACAUCAAAGAGAAUUUAUGCCUUCCAUUAUUUCUCAGAGCACGCGGGUCCCCAGCUACAGCCAUGAUUCCUCUCUGAACCCAUGUAACCUACUCAAGCCCGUUUUCACCCCGAGCCUCAGACGUUACUGCUCUGAGGAAAUGACAUCUGAAAUGUCAUUCAGGUGGCAAGCUGAAGCUCCUAAAUUCAGGAGGCAGAGCUCUGCAACAUAACAACACGACUGCGCUGCUAGUUGCUGGGAGAGGAGCAGUCCCUCCCUCACCUGCUAAACCUUUGCUGACAGGAGCCCUCUUAAACACACGGCCGUGCUGGCAGAGCUGUUUGCCUCUCGCAAGCCUGAGGCUGCAACAAGCAACAGGAGCUGGCAGCCUCAGCCACGUCCACGCCGGGAGGGUUUGCUGCUGCGGUACACGGGGAUAGGCGUUCUCAGGCUGGGGCUGGGGGGUUCCCGCUCCUACAGCAGACCUGGCCAGAUGGGGACAUGCUUUCUCAUGCUUGCAGCUAGGCUAAUUUUAGUAUGAGAGAGUUGCUCACAAUGACUCAUUUGUGCUGCUGAAUUCGGGCACCGUACCUGUGUGCCGAGAAUUCGAGUUUUCUUUUUAGCAGCUCCGUGAGAACUUGGAUGGCAUGCUCAGAGCUCUCUGCCCUCUUUGUGCAGGCUCCUGCAGGGGAAGUGCUGCCCUGGGAGCAAAGCUGUAUGUAUGAAUAUGCCAACAUGCUGUACAGCCUGCUUGUACACUGCGAUUUUAUCAUCUAUAUUACUAUGACCACGCUAUUCAUGUUCCUUUUCCAUUUCUGAGCCACUAGAAGCAACAGGACUUAGUAAAGCUAUGCAGUGAUGCCCCAAGCUCUUCCGGAGUUUGCAGAAUGGGCCAGGCUAGCCAGGAACAGGGUGCCUGGUUUUAACAUCAGACUGCCCACAACUGACGUUUAUGUCUGUGCUACCUACAUUAACAACUUGUGAGUAAGUCCACAGACACACAAGCUUCUUAUUGAACAGCAGCCCCAAGUGAGGCACUCGGAGAUUAUCUUGCUAGAUGCAGAGGGCAGAGCAGCAGUGAGAAAGGACUACCAGGCACCUGGCUGCAAUCACUUCCUCUUAAAAACUGGACGUGUUACACGCAGCCCAUGUUUGGGAGCAGUACGUGGCGCUGCCACACUGACGUACAAGCAGCCUGCAGGAACCGGAGCCCUGAAGCCAUUUCUGCUUUCUCUGCUCCCUGGUCAGAACUGGUGCACUUGACAACCUCCAGCCCCAGGCUCUAGCUGUGCCCUGCUGAGUGCAUGCUACCCUUUAAAACAAUCAGAAGCACAGCCAGCUUUGGAGUUAAAGAAAAAAAAAAAAAGAAAGGGCAUUUGUCUUCCUUGCUUGAGUAUCUAUAGGGUCUUGCCUACUACAUCAGAGGCACGGCAAGCACCUUAAUGUUACCUGUGCAAGGACUGAGGUGAGGGACAAUCAUGCCUUGUUGACUUGUGAUUCGUGGAGCUGCUAUAAGCCUGUGUUUUGAGAAAUCAUUUGUUAGGAGGCUCCCCCCUUUCCAGAGAGACUGUGAGGUUUUGAAUCUUUGUUCUACAAGCGAUUCUUCCUUGAAGCUAUUAAAACACUUUUGUUGUGAAAAAAGGAAAAAAAAAA